Molecule: ribosomal RNA, 402 nt
Filed under: uncultured bacterium
Lineage: Bacteria
Also listed under: 1 other name
Description: bacterial SSU rRNA
Rfam family: Bacterial small subunit ribosomal RNA
Source: RNAcentral
UUAGGAAUAUUGGACAAUGGGGGAAACCCUGAUCCAGCCAUGCCGCGUGUGUGAAGAAGGCCUUAGGGUUGUAAAGCACUUUCGGCUGUGAAGAUAAUGACAGUAGCAGAAGAAGAAGCUCCGGCUAAAUUCGUGCCAGCAGCCGCGGUAAUACGAAUGGAGCGAGCGUUGUUCGGAAUCACUGGGCGUAAAGCGUGCGCAGGCGGUCUUGAAAGUCAGAAGUGAAAGCCCAGGGCUCAACCCUGGAAUUGCUUUUGAAACUCCAAGACUAGAGUACUGGAGGGGUUGGCGGAAUUUCGAGUGUAGCAGUGAAAUGCGUAGAUAUUCGAAGGAACACCGAUGGCGUAGGCAGCCAACUGGACAGUUACUGACGCUCAUGCACGAAAGCGUGGGGAUCAAACA